RNAcentral lists this ribosomal RNA (2851 nucleotides) under Escherichia coli. RNAcentral's name for it is "23S ribosomal RNA". It matches the Rfam family "Bacterial large subunit ribosomal RNA". The record is from RNAcentral. Lineage: Bacteria; Pseudomonadati; Pseudomonadota; Gammaproteobacteria; Enterobacterales; Enterobacteriaceae.
GGGUUGUGAGGUUAAGCGACUAAGCGUACACGGUGGAUGCCCUGGCAGUCAGAGGCGAUGAAGGACGUGCUAAUCUGCGAUAAGCGUCGGUGAGGUGAUAUGAACCGUUAUAACCGGCGAUUUCCGAAUGGGGAAACCCAGUGUGUUUCGACACACUAUCAUUAACUGAAUCCAUAGGUUAAUGAGGCGAACCGGGGGAACUGAAACAUCUAAGUACCCCGAGGAAAAGAAAUCAACCGAGAUUCCCCCAGUAGCGGCGAGCGAACGGGGAGGAGCCCAGAGCCUGAAUCAGUGUGUGUGUUAGUGGAAGCGUCUGGAAAGGCGUGCGAUACAGGGUGACAGCCCCGUACACAAAAAUGCACAUAUUGUGAGCUCGAUGAGUAGGGCGGGACACGUGGUAUCCUGUCUGAAUAUGGGGGGACCAUCCUCCAAGGCUAAAUACUCCUGACUGACCGAUAGUGAACCAGUACCGUGAGGGAAAGGCGAAAAGAACCCCGGCGAGGGGAGUGAAAAAGAACCUGAAACCGUGUACGUACAAGCAGUGGGAGCCUCUUAAUGGGGUGACUGCGUACCUUUUGUAUAAUGGGUCAGCGACUUAUAUUCUGUAGCAAGGUUAACCGAAUAGGGGAGCCGAAGGGAAACCGAGUCUUAACUGGGCGUUAAGUUGCAGGGUAUAGACCCGAAACCCGGUGAUCUAGCCAUGGGCAGGUUGAAGGUUGGGUAACACUAACUGGAGGACCGAACCGACUAAUGUUGAAAAAUUAGCGGAUGACUUGUGGCUGGGGGUGAAAGGCCAAUCAAACCGGGAGAUAGCUGGUUCUCCCCGAAAGCUAUUUAGGUAGCGCCUCGUGAAUUCAUCUCCGGGGGUAGAGCACUGUUUCGGCAAGGGGGUCAUCCCGACUUACCAACCCGAUGCAAACUGCGAAUACCGGAGAAUGUUAUCACGGGAGACACACGGCGGGUGCUAACGUCCGUCGUGAAGAGGGAAACAACCCAGACCGCCAGCUAAGGUCCCAAAGUCAUGGUUAAGUGGGAAACGAUGUGGGAAGGCCCAGACAGCCAGGAUGUUGGCUUAGAAGCAGCCAUCAUUUAAAGAAAGCGUAAUAGCUCACUGGUCGAGUCGGCCUGCGCGGAAGAUGUAACGGGGCUAAACCAUGCACCGAAGCUGCGGCAGCGACACUAUGUGUUGUUGGGUAGGGGAGCGUUCUGUAAGCCUGUGAAGGUGGCCUGUGAGGGUUGCUGGAGGUAUCAGAAGUGCGAAUGCUGACAUAAGUAACGAUAAAGCGGGUGAAAAGCCCGCUCGCCGGAAGACCAAGGGUUCCUGUCCAACGUUAAUCGGGGCAGGGUGAGUCGACCCCUAAGGCGAGGCCGAAAGGCGUAGUCGAUGGGAAACAGGUUAAUAUUCCUGUACUUGGUGUUACUGCGAAGGGGGGACGGAGAAGGCUAUGUUGGCCGGGCGACGGUUGUCCCGGUUUAAGCGUGUAGGCUGGUUUUCCAGGCAAAUCCGGAAAACCAAGGCUGAGGCGUGAUGACGAAGCACUACGGUGCUGAAGCGACAAAUGCCCUGCUUCCAGGAAAAGCCUCUAAGCAUCAGGUAACAUCAAAUCGUACCCCAAACCGACACAGGUGGUCAGGUAGAGAAUACCAAGGCGCUUGAGAGAACUCGGGUGAAGGAACUAGGCAAAAUGGUGCCGUAACUUCGGGAGAAGGCACGCUGAUAUGUAGGUGAAGCGACUUGCUCGUGGAGCUGAAAUCAGUCGAAGAUACCAGCUGGCUGCAACUGUUUAUUAAAAACACAGCACUGUGCAAACACGAAAGUGGACGUAUACGGUGUGACGCCUGCCCGGUGCCGGAAGGUUAAUUGAUGGGGUUAGCGGUAACGCGAAGCUCUUGAUCGAAGCCCCGGUAAACGGCGGCCGUAACUAUAACGGUCCUAAGGUAGCGAAAUUCCUUGUCGGGUAAGUUCCGACCUGCACGAAUGGCGUAAUGAUGGCCAGGCUGUCUCCACCCGAGACUCAGUGAAAUUGAACUCGCUGUGAAGAUGCAGUGUACCCGCGGCAAGACGGAAAGACCCCGUGAACCUUUACUAUAGCUUGACACUGAACAUUGAGCCUUGAUGUGUAGGAUAGGUGGGAGGCUUUGAAGUGUGGACGCCAGUCUGCAUGGAGCCGACCUUGAAAUACCACCCUUUAAUGUUUGAUGUUCUAACGUUGGCCCGUAAUCCGGGUUGCGGACAGUGUCUGGUGGGUAGUUUGACUGGGGCGGUCUCCUCCUAAAGAGUAACGGAGGAGCACGAAGGUUGGCUAAUCCUGGUCGGACAUCAGGAGGUUAGUGCAAUGGCAUAAGCCAGCUUGACUGCGAGCGUGACGGCGCGAGCAGGUGCGAAAGCAGGUCAUAGUGAUCCGGUGGUUCUGAAUGGAAGGGCCAUCGCUCAACGGAUAAAAGGUACUCCGGGGAUAACAGGCUGAUACCGCCCAAGAGUUCAUAUCGACGGCGGUGUUUGGCACCUCGAUGUCGGCUCAUCACAUCCUGGGGCUGAAGUAGGUCCCAAGGGUAUGGCUGUUCGCCAUUUAAAGUGGUACGCGAGCUGGGUUUAGAACGUCGUGAGACAGUUCGGUCCCUAUCUGCCGUGGGCGCUGGAGAACUGAGGGGGGCUGCUCCUAGUACGAGAGGACCGGAGUGGACGCAUCACUGGUGUUCGGGUUGUCAUGCCAAUGGCACUGCCCGGUAGCUAAAUGCGGAAGAGAUAAGUGCUGAAAGCAUCUAAGCACGAAACUUGCCCCGAGAUGAGUUCUAGCGCAGCGAUGCGUUGAGCUAACCGGUACUAAUGAACCGUGAGGCUUAACCCCAU